This 320-nucleotide ribosomal RNA is filed under the name uncultured bacterium. RNAcentral describes it as "bacterial SSU rRNA". It matches the Rfam family "Bacterial small subunit ribosomal RNA", at positions 30 to 353 of the family's 1533-position model. The record is from RNAcentral.
AUUGAACGCUGGCAGCAUGCUUAACACAUGCAAGUCGAACGGUAACAGGCCCUUCGGGAUGCUGACGAGUGGCGGACGGGUGAGUAACGCUUAGGAAUCUACCUAGUAGUGGGGGAUAACCCGGGGAAACUCGGGCUAAUACCGCGUACGCCCUACGGGGAAAGCGGGGACUUUCGGGCCUCGCGCUAUUAGAUGAGCCUAAGUCCGAUUAGCUAGUUGGUAGGGUAAUGGCCUACCAAGGCGACGAUCGGAGCUGGUCUGAGAGGACGACCAGCCACACUGGGACUGAGACACGGCCCAGACUCCUACGGGAGGCAGCA